This 1152-nucleotide ribosomal RNA is filed under the name Escherichia coli. Its description in RNAcentral is "partial 23S ribosomal RNA". It matches the Rfam family "Bacterial large subunit ribosomal RNA", at positions 1 to 1194 of the family's 2925-position model. The record is from RNAcentral. Lineage: Bacteria; Pseudomonadati; Pseudomonadota; Gammaproteobacteria; Enterobacterales; Enterobacteriaceae.
GGUUAAGCGACUAAGCGUACACGGUGGAUGCCCUGGCAGUCAGAGGCGAUGAAGGACGUGCUAAUCUGCGAUAAGCGUCGGUAAGGUGAUAUGAACCGUUAUAACCGGCGAUUUCCGAAUGGGGAAACCCAGUGUGUUUCGACACACUAUCAUUAACUGAAUCCAUAGGUUAAUGAGGCGAACCGGGGGAACUGAAACAUCUAAGUACCCCGAGGAAAAGAAAUCAACCGAGAUUCCCCCAGUAGCGGCGAGCGAACGGGGAGGAGCCCAGAGCCUGAAUCAGUGUGUGUGUUAGUGGAAGCGUCUGGAAAGGCGCGCGAUACAGGGUGACAGCCCCGUACACAAAAAUGCACAUACUGUGAGCUCGAUGAGUAGGGCGGGACACGUGGUAUCCUGUCUGAAUAUGGGGGGACCAUCCUCCAAGGCUAAAUACUCCUGACUGACCGAUAGUGAACCAGUACCGUGAGGGAAAGGCGAAAAGAACCCCGGCGAGGGGAGUGAAAAAGAACCUGAAACCGUGUACGUACAAGCAGUGGGAGCACGCUUCGGCGUGUGACUGCGUACCUUUUGUAUAAUGGGUCAGCGACUUAUAUUCUGUAGCAAGGUUAACCGAAUAGGGGAGCCGAAGGGAAACCGAGUCUUAACUGGGCGUUAAGUUGCAGGGUAUAGACCCGAAACCCGGUGAUCUAGCCAUGGGCAGGUUGAAGGUUGGGUAACACUAACUGGAGGACCGAACCGACUAAUGUUGAAAAAUUAGCGGAUGACUUGUGGCUGGGGGUGAAAGGCCAAUCAAACCGGGAGAUAGCUGGUUCUCCCCGAAAGCUAUUUAGGUAGCGCCUCGUGAAUUCAUCUCCGGGGGUAGAGCACUGUUUCGGCAAGGGGGUCAUCCCGACUUACCAACCCGAUGCAAACUGCGAAUACCGGAGAAUGUUAUCACGGGAGACACACGGCGGGUGCUAACGUCCGUCGUGAAGAGGGAAACAACCCAGACCGCCAGCUAAGGUCCCAAAGUCAUGGUUAAGUGGGAAACGAUGUGGGAAGGCCCAGACAGCCAGGAUGUUGGCUUAGAAGCAGCCAUCAUUUAAAGAAAGCGUAAUAGCUCACUGGUCGAGUCGGCCUGCGCGGAAGAUGUAACGGGGCUAAACCAUGCAC